AGGAACAACGCUGGCGGCGUGCCUAACGCAUGCAAGUCGGGCGGGGUCGUCUUUCGGGGCGGCUCAGCGGCGGACGGGUGAGGAGCACGUGAUCGACCUGCCCAUGAGUGGGGGCCAACCCCGGGAAACCGGGGCUGUUACCGCAUGCGUCCGGCCCCUGGUGGGGGGGUCGGGGAAAGCCUUUCGGGGCGCUCAUGGAGGGGAUUGCGUCCGAUUAGCUAGUCGGCGGGGUAACGGCCCACCGAGGCGACGAUCGGUCGCUGGUCUGAGAGGACGACCAGCCACAGGGGGACUGAGACACGGCCCCCACACCUACGGGUGGCAGCAGCGAGGGAUUUCGGCAAUGGGCGCAAGCCUGACCGAGCAACGCCGCGUGCGGGAUGACGGCCUUCGGGUUGUAACCGCUUUUCCCCGGGGCGAAGAUGACGGUACCGGGGAAGUCAGCCUCGGCUAACUACGUGCCAGCAGCCGC
Molecule: ribosomal RNA, 472 nt
Filed under: uncultured bacterium
Lineage: Bacteria
Description: SSU rRNA
Rfam family: Bacterial small subunit ribosomal RNA
Source: RNAcentral